UACGUAGGUGGCAAGCGUUGUCCGGAUUUACUGGGCGUAAAGAGCGCGCAGGCGGUUGGGUAAGUCGAAUGUGAAAGCCCCCGGCUUAACUGGGGAGGGUCAUUCGAUACUGUUCAACUUGAAGGCAGGAGAGGGCAGCAGAAUUCCCGGUGUAGUGGUGAAAUGCGUAGAUAUCGGGAGGAACACCGGUGGCGAAGGCGGCGACCUGGGUAGAUACUGACGCUGAGGUGCGAAAGCGUGGGGAGCAAACAGG
This 253-nucleotide ribosomal RNA is filed under the name uncultured bacterium. RNAcentral describes it as "partial 16S ribosomal RNA". It matches the Rfam family "Bacterial small subunit ribosomal RNA", at positions 524 to 776 of the family's 1533-position model. The record is from RNAcentral.